UUAGGUUGUUGUCGUGACUUUUCUACCAAACUCAUCCAAAGUGCAAUAUUGUUGUGUGAUUUUACUUUAUUCACGUGCUUUAGAUAGAUGACAGCACAAAUUACUAUCAAGAUAGUUAAACAGAAACUAAAUUUUAUUUACAAUUUAAGUAUCCAAAUAUUGUAUGCUUUGUCAUUACAUAAUUCAACCGACUAGAUCUACAACAACCUAUUCUCGGGAACCAGGUUCUGUAACCAACAUCCUACAGACACUUGGCUGGCCAACACUAGCAACACGCAGACAAGGAGCCAGGCUUAUACUCCUAUAUAAGAUCCUGCAUGGAGAAGCAUCAGUCAUUAUCCCAGAUUACAUCAGGAGACCAACUGUAACAACCAGACAAUACAACAGGCACAGAGACAGGUUUUCUAGAGUCAGCACUUCAACGGAUGCCUAUAAAUACAGUUUCAUCCCAGAACAAAUUUUUGACUGGAACCAAUUACCUGAAAGUGCCAUCCAAGCCCCCACAACAGAUGCCUUCCGGGUCUGUGUGUGGCAGUUCCUGGCGUAACUAUUGAUACCUGAUUUUAACCCUGUACAGUUGUUGCAAACUCACAUAAUUUUAUUUGAUUUUGUUCCUGUAAAUACCCAAGUUUUUGUUUAUUUUUAACUUGGCGUGUACUGGUUGACACACCCGCACAGUAUAUCUGUGUUAUGGAAAUUUCAACUGCAGAUUAACCACAAAAUAUAGAAGAAGAAGUACAAUAAACACUAGACAACAGGAAUGACAGGAUAUAUCUUCUGGGGGAUGGAUGGUAACUGAAUCAAUACAAAUAGCCUCAUUGAAUUUGAAAAAGCUGCAAAUGAUAUCAGUAACAAAAGAUUGUUAGUGUGCAGUGUGCAGACAGUGGUUAAACAGAAGUUAACAUUCUAUCAGUUUUUGGAUUUUACAAUCAGCUAGAGGAAAUAAUAGGAGAAAAAGGGACCUGUGUGGUAAAAACUUCCUAAAAGUCGUCCUUUAUGUGUUCAACUUUUUCUUUUGGCUGACAGCCCGGUAGCUUUCCUUAAGCAUUAGGGUUAUAUAUCAAGUUCCAGAAGCAUACCUAUAUCAAUCUGCUAGGGAACAGUACUUUCCCUUUGGCAACAUACUUGCUACUAGGAACAGGAGCCUUUAUUAUCUUGUCAGGAAUCAUUAGUUGUACUGGGACAUGUAUAGAAAAUAGAUGUUUUAUGGUUAUGGUUGGAAGAGACUGAUGAACUAUACAUAUCUGGGAUACAGAAUCAAUGAAACAUCGUCAGUACUGAAAGGUCAACAUCAAAGAGGGGUCUGUGCUGUAGACUUCUCAGGUAUUUAUUGUUUGUUCAUUUUCAAUCUUAAUACAAAAAAUUUAUGCAGAUUGAAACAUGACAGGAUAUUUUUGGUGGUUAACCUUGUAAUGAUUUUGACUGGAACAAAAGAAUGGAUGUCAGGAAAAUCAGGAAAAUAAGAUUAUAAGUACAGCUAGUAUGGGAAUAAAACCUGGAAUUUUAUCACCAGAUCUGGUUGGACUUGGAUAUUUGUUGAUUUGUUACUGCCUGAAAAUUAUCUACUACAGUGAUACUUAAUUUAUUGCCACCUUUUGGAACAUGUAAAAUACUAUCGACAAGUCAGGAUGGCAGUAUAUCAAAGUAGAAAUUUAUAUAAUAAACUGCUUCGCUGAGUGCAGCUGGAUACGCCCGCAGAGGUCCAACCCUGAACAGUUGGGGCAAAAAUGGAUACAAUAUUCAAGCUUGAUACAGGUCUGAAUUUGGAUUGUAAUUAAAUAUUUGACAUAUUACAGGUUUCUGAAUAAAUGUAGUCAAAGAACUUGAAAUUGGUUAUAUGAAUUGAAUUUAUAUACAAUUAAAGAUUUCUUGCUGUUGUGCAAUACACUGUGCUGUUGCGCAAUACUUAGUAAAUCUGUUGUCAGACUAUAAACAAAUAAAGUUCAAUUAAUUCUCAAUGUCAUAUUAGAAAUUUAUGAAAAUCAAAAGGGAGCUUACAUCAAUAGAUAUAAACAAUUCACCAAAGUUUCAUGAGAAUUGCUGACAGCAUUUUUGAGUUGUUGUCCGAAAACUGGAAAAUCCCCCCUUUUUUAAUGAAUAAAACCCCAUAACUCAGAAAUGUAAAAUGUAAAAUUUAUAAAAUUCUAAACGGAGCUUACUUAAAUAGAUAUAAACAAUUCACCAUAGUUUCAUAAGAACUGCUGUAAGCAUUUUUGCGUUUUUGUCAGAAAACUGGAAAAUCCCCCUUUUUUAUGAAUAAAAAACCCUGUAACUCGGAAACGUAAAAUCUAAAUUUAUAAAAAUUCAAAGGAGCUCAUGUCAAUAGAUAUAAACAAUUCACCACAAUUUCUUGAAAGUUGAUGAAAGCAUUCUUGAGUUAUUGUCUGAAAACUGGAAAAUCCCCCUUUUUUUAAUGAUAAAACCCCAUAAGUCAGAAACGUAAAAUUUUAAAUUUAUAAAAAACGAAAGGGAGCUCACGUCAAUAGAUAUAAACAAUUCACCAAAGUUUUAUGCAAAUUGGUUAAAGCGUUUUUGAGUUGGUGUCCGACAUGUUGACGACGGACGGAUAGACAGACGGACGGACGGACAGACGGACAACGGUAUACCAUAAUACGUCCCGUAAACGGGCGUAUAAAAACUGCACACAUUUGAGAAAAGUUGACUCUAGGAUUAUUCUGUAAAUUCGUAUUGGCAUGGGUAGGCACCGGACACAUCCAUCUAGAACACCAAUACCAAUAUUUAAUAUUCAAAUAGUUCCAGUGUAAUGCUGUGUGUUAUUCAAGAAAUAGAGUUAAUUAAUUGUCUAUACAAUUUUAUACCCUUAAAGGACACUUGCUGUGACAAAACUCCUGCAACUUUUAUUGUAUUGUACUUUCAAUAUUCGCAUUGCGCAGGCCCAUGCAAAAUCGAUUGUUAUAUAUAGUAAUCCAGCAUACAUCCAAACGUGUAGAGCCGAUUUUAACUUGGGGCCUACUAUAAAUAAUAAAAACGAAUGGCAAUACAACUAUAUCAAAGUAAGAAGAUAUAUAUUCCUUGAUAAUUAUCAGAUGUAGGCUUAUCAGACUUUUCUUCCCCGAUCUUCCUGAUUCGCAGCGGGAGCUUUGCGUGUAUAUAGCCUUUGAUUUUCAUAUAGUGUGAACAAUGUAUUUCUUCCACUGA
Molecule: long non-coding RNA, 3159 nt
Organism: Mytilus californianus (California mussel)
Lineage: Eukaryota; Metazoa; Mollusca; Bivalvia; Mytilida; Mytilidae
Exons: 4
Source: RefSeq, a predicted model, not a curated record